GACGAACGCUGGCGGCGUGCUUAACACAUGCAAGUCGAACGGAAAGGCCCUGCUUUUGUGGGGUGCUCGAGUGGCGAACGGGUUAGUAACACGUGAGUAGCCUGCCCUUGACUUUGGGAUAACUUCAGGAAACUGGGGCUAAUACCGGAUAGGAGCUCCUGCUGCAUGGUGGGGGUUGGAAAGUUUCGGCGGUUGGGGAUGGACUCGCGGCUUAUCAGCUUGUUGGUGGGGUAGUGGCUUACCAAGGCUUUGACGGGUAGCCGGCCUGAGAGGGUGACCGGCAACAUUGGGACUGAGAUACGGCCCAGACUCCUACGGGAGGCAGCAGUGGGGAAUAUUGCACAAUGGGCGGACGCCUGAUGCAGCAACGCCGCGUGCGGGAUGACGGCCUUCGGGUUGUAAACCGCUUUCGCCUGUGACGAAGCGUGAGUGACGGUAAUGGGUAAAGAAGCACCGGCUAACUACGUG
RNAcentral lists this ribosomal RNA (468 nucleotides) under uncultured bacterium. RNAcentral's name for it is "partial 16S ribosomal RNA". It matches the Rfam family "Bacterial small subunit ribosomal RNA", at positions 28 to 507 of the family's 1533-position model. The record is from RNAcentral.